This 492-nucleotide ribosomal RNA is filed under the name uncultured bacterium. RNAcentral describes it as "partial 16S ribosomal RNA". It matches the Rfam family "Bacterial small subunit ribosomal RNA", at positions 29 to 507 of the family's 1533-position model. The record is from RNAcentral.
AUUGAACGCUGGCGGCAUGCUUUACACAUGCAAGUCGAACGGUAACAGGCCUUCGGGUGCUGACGAGUGGCGAACGGGUGAGUAAUGCAUCGGAACGUACCCAGAGGUGGGGGAUAACGCAGCGAAAGCUGUGCUAAUACCGCAUGUGAUCUGAGGAUGAAAGCGGGGGACCGAGCAGCAAUGUUUGGCCUCGCGCCUUUGGAGCGGCCGAUGUCGGAUUAGCUAGUUGGUGGGGUAAAGGCCUACCAAGGCGACGAUCCGUAGCUGGUCUGAGAGGAGGACCAGCCACACUGGGACUGAGACACGGCCCAGACUCCUACGGGAGGCAGCAGUGGGGAAUUUUGGACAAUGGGCGAAAGCCUGAUCCAGCAAUGCCGCGUGAGGGAAGAAGGCCUUCGGGUUGUAAACCGCUUUUGGCAGGAACGAAACGGUGUCCGCUAAUACCGGGCGCUAAUGACGGUACCUGCAGAAUAAGCACCGGCUAACUACGUG